Molecule: unclassified non-coding RNA, 2655 nt
Filed under: Leishmania donovani
Lineage: Eukaryota; Euglenozoa; Kinetoplastea; Trypanosomatida; Trypanosomatidae
Description: gene:unknown
Source: RNAcentral
CGUGGCAGCUGCAAUGCACUCUCUCCUCCCCUCUCUUCCUGCAGACGAUGCGCCAGCUCAACGGAACGAGUGUUUCGGCUCAUCGCUUCACCAGUCACCACCCCGACAGAGACCGCCACCGUUGUCAAGCAUGUUGGGUGCACCGAGUCCGGCAGCAGGCGAAUUCAGACGCCGUCUUGCACAGCUUCGGGGGUGAAGGGCGGACUAGGCAGCAGAGGCACUAACGGGCCGAGGAUCCUGGCAGCCCUCUCCGCGCCGAGGGGCAGCACCAUCCGCGAGAACCCUCAAAGAGCUCUGAAGGCAGGGCUGCCCGUCGAGUGGCUGAUAGAGGGACAAGACAAUGAGAUGCUCACAGGGGUGGAAGCUUGCCACGCGGGAAGACGACACGCCACGGGGCUGCCUUUUCCUCUGCCAGAGUGCACGCCAAUGCAGCUGUGUUGCGCGUGCAGUCGACUGACCACGCUCACGGACGACCUGACCGGAGGAGGGCUGUACCGUCAAGUCAGCACUGCGGAGAGAAGCGACUGCUGCAUACCCCUGCACACGCGACAUCGCUGGCCAGCCGGUAUCCCCGCAUGGGGGUCGACUCGCAGCAAGGCACGGCAGCGUACUUUUGGCUUCGCCUCCGUCCGUCAUCGUGGGGGCCGGACGUACGCAAGGCCUUCUCGAGGAUGGCGGCACAGCGGCUUCUGACCUUCGUCAGGUGCAUGGCGCAACAACGCCUCGGCGCUGACUGCGAGGGCUUCUCAUGUUGAUCUAUGUGUUCGCAGACGCAUCAGAUGAAGCGGUACGACGGCCCCCAAGACCGCACCCAUGCCGCUUGCGCCCCGGUCUUCCACAGGGACACAGCGAAAGGCGGUCUGGGGAGGCGAGGCUUCCGUGCACGGCUACGUGGACUCUUCCGUAACUGCAAAACCGAACAGACGCCUCCACAAAGGGCAGGGGCCCAUCUCCCCCCUUUCCUUAUCACGGGCGGCCGGCUUGACACCGAGGAGAACGUCCCGCUGGAGGGAUCCGAGGCAACUCAUCGCUGAGCGUCGCGAGGAGGACCUGAAAAGCGUCGAUCAAUCGUGUCCCGCUACGCAACGAUGCAUAGCGCGCUGAUACCUCCUGCCGCUGUAUGCUGAUCGGGGGCAACCCAUGAACACCGAGGAAUCGCCGGAAUGGUCAGCAGCGCACGGCAGGAUGGCACCAGUUGAUGGGCAGCGAGAUUCCAUACCGGGCGCCACACGUGCCCGGUGGGUCUGACCUACAGAGGAGGUUCAGGGCCAAUCACCUCGUCAGGCCCUCUUAGCCGCAUCCAACGAAGAGCUGCUGCAGAUGGCGCGCGGCCCCACAACUUUCGUGGGCGAGAAAUGUGAGUGGCACGACAACCCCAGACGUCUGCAAAAUUCAGUGAAAUCGGUUGCGAUGUUGAAGCCCGCGCUUCACAGGCGGCAACACACAUAAGCAGACAUUUAGACAGCUUGGUUGCCGUGAUCAUGUGCAUAUGAUGCGCACGACGAGAAGGGGCACAGCCGACACCCUGUCUCCGGAAACUUCCGUCUGUAGGCGUGAAAAGAGCGAACCUUCGUUAUCAGACUCAGGGGGUUCUUCACUACCACGCAGCUGUGCCUGGCCUCGGCACUCGGGCUAGAACGCACGGAUGUGCUGAACAUGGAGAGGGGUGGGCUCGUGGCCGCAUUGCCACAGCAGAAAUAAGUGUGCCGAACGAGACGUGGAUAAGCGGAAUGCGUGAGAGUACGCCGGGGAGGGCGCGGACGAGCCGUUGGGCGUUGCACAGCCAGCCGAGAACGCAUGUGCUUCCUCUCUCUCCACCCGCUCCUCCAUGCCUAGCCGAGGAGCGACACCAACAACAAAAUACAACACGAAACCAAAAGGGCAAAGAGAAAUGCACCAGCAAACGCGAAGCCCCAACAUGCACGCCUGCACACACGGCCCACAUGUCUCACUCACUCCCUCUUUUUCCAGACCCUCCUGCUUCCUCGUCUCACUGAGGCCGUUUGUCAGCCUUUCGCCGGCCUUUGCCUCCUUCAUUUCAAAGGCGGCCUCUCUACUUACGCCUUUUUAGGCGGCUCUCAUGAAUGACUCUGUGGGCGUGUUCGUAUGUGUGCGAAAGAGGGAAGGCAACGAGGAAAGAUGCGGCUAAGAAUGGAGGGGGAAUGGGGCGGCGGACCGUGAGGACAGCUGUGCGUGUUCUAACGCACGCAUGCCACAUACAUCUCUCGCCUCCCUGCACGCACAGGGACACAGACACUUUACGCUUGCUGACGCAUGUGAACAAUCGAACUUGAAAAUGAGACAGCUUCGUCGUGUACAUCCGAUGCAGAUGUCACCUGUGCUUCUGAAACAGAUGCGGCAUUGUGGUGGAGGCACCAACAACAUCGCCCAACAAGAUCAGUGCACACAUGCAUGCAUGCACGCACAUCAUCUCUCUCAUUCGGUGUGCACGUUUGUGCGCAUGUGUGCUGGACCCUUCUCUUUUUACUUCCAAAGAAAGUGGUGUGUCUGUGUGUGUGUGUGUGUGUAGUGGCCCGAGUUGUUGCGGAGACGCAGCAGCGAGACAAGCAGUCCACCUACCUGGAUGCUCGUUAUUGUGUGCGAUGGAGUACUUCUCUCCACAAAGAAAGGCAGAUAUAUAUAUAUAUAUGCUUG